GAUGAACGCUGGCGGCGUGCCUAAUACAUGCAAGUCGAGCGAACGGACGAGAAGCUUGCUUCUCUGAUGUUAGCGGCGGACGGGUGAGUACCACGUGGAUAACCUACCUAUAAGACUGGGAUAACUUCGGGAAACCGGAGCUAAUACCGGAUAAUAUUUUGAACCGCAUGGUUCAAAAGUGAAAGACGGUCUUGCUGUCACUUAUAGAUGGAUCCGCGCUGCAUUAGCUAGUUGGUAAGGUAACGGCUUACCAAGGCAACGAUGCAUAGCCGACCUGAGAGGGUGGUCGGCCAGACGGGAACUGAGGCACGGUCCAGACUCCGACGGGAGGCAGCAGUAGGGAAUCUUCCGCGAUGGGCGAAAGCCGGACGGAGCAACGCCGCGUGAGUGAUGAAGGUCUUCGGAUCGUAAAACUCUGUUAUUAGGGAAGAACAUAUGUGUAAGUAACUGUGCACAUCUUGACGGUACCUAAUCAGAAAGCCACGGCUAACUACGUG
This 497-nucleotide ribosomal RNA is filed under the name uncultured bacterium. RNAcentral's name for it is "partial 16S ribosomal RNA". It matches the Rfam family "Bacterial small subunit ribosomal RNA", at positions 28 to 507 of the family's 1533-position model. The record is from RNAcentral.